RNAcentral lists this ribosomal RNA (492 nucleotides) under uncultured bacterium. Its description in RNAcentral is "partial 16S ribosomal RNA". It matches the Rfam family "Bacterial small subunit ribosomal RNA", at positions 29 to 507 of the family's 1533-position model. The record is from RNAcentral.
AGUGAACGCUGGCGGUAGGCCUAACACAUGCGAGUCGAACGGCAGCACAGUAAGAGCUUGCUCUUACGGGUGGCGAGUGGCGGACGGGUGAGGAAUACAUCGGAAUCUACUUUUUCGUGGGGGAUAACGUAGGGAAACUUACGCUAAUACCGCAUACGACCUACGGGUGAAAGCAGGGGAUCUUCGGACCUUGCGCGAGUGAAUGAGCCGAUGUCGGAUUAGCUAGUUGGCGGGGUAAAGGCCCACCAAGGCGACGAUCCGUAGCUGGUCUGAGAGGAUGAUCAGCCACACUGGAACUGAGACACGGUCCAGACUCCUACGGGAGGCAGCAGUGGGGAAUAUUGGACAAUGGGCGCAAGCCUGAUCCAGCCAUACCGCGUGGGUGAAGAAGGCCUUCGGGUUGUAAAGCCCUUUUGUUGGGAAAGAAAAGCAGCAGGUUAAUACCCCGCUGUUCUGACGGUACCCAAAGAAUAAGCACCGGCUAACUUCGUG